GGCAGUGUGGUGCAGUGGUUUCAGCUUUGGACUAUAACUCUGAAGAUUAGGUUCAAUUCCCUACUUGGCCA
Phrynosoma platyrhinos (Desert horned lizard) is the source of this 71-nucleotide non-coding RNA. NCBI's taxonomy places the organism in Eukaryota, Metazoa, Chordata, Lepidosauria, Squamata, Phrynosomatidae. The record is from the annotation of a GenBank genome assembly.